Molecule: ribosomal RNA, 450 nt
Filed under: uncultured Glomus
Lineage: Eukaryota; Fungi; Glomeromycota; Glomeromycetes; Glomerales; Glomeraceae
Description: SSU rRNA
Rfam family: Eukaryotic small subunit ribosomal RNA
Source: RNAcentral
AGCAGCCGCGGUAAUUCCAGCUCCAAUAGCGUAUAUUAAAGUUGUUGCAGUUAAAAAGCUCGUAGUUGAAUUUCGGGAUCAAUAUGUCGGUCGUGCCUUCGGUACGUACUGGUAUCAUUGGUUUCUCCUUUCUGACGAACCAUGAUGUCAUUAAUUUGGUGUUAUGGGGAGUUAGGACUGUUACUUUGAAAAAUUAGAGUGUUUAAAGCAGGCUUUAGCUUGAAUACAUUAGCAUGGAAUAAUGAAAUAGGACGUUCGAACCUAUUUUGUUGGUUUCUAGGAUCAACGUAAUGAUUAAUAGGGAUAGUUGGGGGCAUUAGUAUUCAAUUGUCAGAGGUGAAAUUCUUGGAUUUAUUGAAGACUAACUACUGCGAAAGCAUUUGCCAAGGAUGUUUUCAUUAAUCAAGAACGAAAGUUAGGGGAUCGAAGACGAUCAGAUACCGUCGUAGU